RNAcentral lists this ribosomal RNA (469 nucleotides) under uncultured bacterium. Its description in RNAcentral is "bacterial SSU rRNA". It matches the Rfam family "Bacterial small subunit ribosomal RNA", at positions 56 to 512 of the family's 1533-position model. The record is from RNAcentral.
UGGAGUAGAGGGAAGAAGGGAGUUGUCGCCGGAUGUUAGCGGCGGACGGGUGAGUAACACGUGGGUAACCUGCCUGUAAGACUGGGAUAACUCCGGGAAACCGGAGCUAAUACCGGAUAGUUCCUUGAACCGCAUGGUUCAAGGAUGAAAGACGGUUUCGGCUGUCACUUACAGAUGGACCCGCGGCGCAUUAGCUAGUUGGUGGGGUAAUGGCUCACCAAGGCGACGAUGCGUAGCCGACCUGAGAGGGUGAUCGGCCACACUGGGACUGAGACACGGCCCAGACUCCUACGGGAGGCAGCAGUAGGGAAUCUUCCGCAAUGGACGAAAGUCUGACGGAGCAACGCCGCGUGAGUGAUGAAGGUUUUCGGAUCGUAAAGCUCUGUUGUUAGGGAAGAACAAGUGCGAGAGUAACUGCUCGCACCUUGACGGUACCUAACCAGAAAGCCACGGCUAACUACGUGCCAGC